UAGGUCUGAUUGCUAUUGCACCACAUGUGUUUUUUAUUGAACAAAUUUCUUUGGUGGCGGGAGCAAUCCUACCGCCAGAGGUUAUAACUAAACCAAACUUUUUAUUUACAGUCAAACUUGAUUUAUUAUUACAAUAGUCAAAACUUUCAACAACGGAUCUCUUGGUUCUCGCAUCGAUGAAGAACGCAGCGAAAUGCGAUACGUAAUAUGAAUUGCAGAUAUUCGUGAAUCAUCGAAUCUUUGAACGCACAUUGCGCCCUUUGGUAUUCCAAAGGGCAUGCCUGUUUGAGCGUCAUUUCUCCCUCAAACCCCCGGGUUUGGUGUUGAGCAAUACGCUAGGUUUGUUUGAAAGAAUUUAACGUGGAAACUUAUUUUAAGCGACUUAGGUUUAUCCAAAAACCCUAAUUUGGCAAUGGGCCCCCACAAUUAAUUUCUAAAUUUUAACCUCAAAUCGGGAAGAACUACCCGUUAAAUUUAGCCUAAUCAAAAACCGGAAGGAA
Molecule: ribosomal RNA, 500 nt
Filed under: Candida tropicalis
Lineage: Eukaryota; Fungi; Ascomycota; Pichiomycetes; Serinales; Debaryomycetaceae
Description: eukaryotic LSU rRNA
Rfam family: 5.8S ribosomal RNA (bases 142-295)
Source: RNAcentral